CAGGCCUAACACAUGCAAGUCGAACGGAAACGAUGCUAGCUUGCUAGCAGGCGUCGAGUGGCGGACGGGUGAGUAACACGUGGGAAUCUGCCUAUUAGUGGGGGAUAAGCUGGGGAAACCCAGUCUAAUACCGCAUACGCACUACGGUGGAAAGGGGCCCUCUCCUUGGAAGGUCUCGCUAAUAGAUGAGCCCGCGUCGGAUUAGCUAGUUGGUGGGAUAAAGGCCCACCAAGGCGACGAUCCGUAGCUGGUCUGAGAGGAUGAUCAGCCACACUGGGACUGAGACACGGCCCAGACUCCUACGGGAGGCAGCAGUAGGGAAUAUUGGACAAUGGAGGAAACUCUGAUCCAGCCAUGCCGCGUGUGUGAAGAAGGCCCUAGGGUUGUAAAGCACUUUCAGUAGGGAGGAAACGCCUACGGUUAAUACCCGUGGGCUAUGACGUUACCUACAGAAGAAGCACCGGCUAAUUUCGUGCCAGCAGCCGCGGUAAUACGAAAGGUGCAAGCGUUAAUCGGAAUUACUGGGCGUAAAGCGUACGUAGGCGGUUGAUUAAGCAGGAUGUGAAAGCCCCGAGCUCAACUUGGGAACUGCAUCCUGAACUGGUCAACUAGAGUACAGCAGAGGAGAGUGGAAUUUCUCGUGUAGCGG
This 649-nucleotide ribosomal RNA is filed under the name uncultured bacterium. Its description in RNAcentral is "bacterial SSU rRNA". It matches the Rfam family "Bacterial small subunit ribosomal RNA", at positions 43 to 681 of the family's 1533-position model. The record is from RNAcentral.